UGCAGUCGAGCGAACUGACGAGGAGCUUGCUCCUUUGACGUUAGCGGCGGACGGGUGAGUAACACGUGGGUAACCUACCUAUAAGACUGGAAUAACUCCGGGAAACCGGGGCUAAUGCCGGAUAACAUGUUGAACCGCAUGGUUCAACAGUGAAAGACGGUCUUGCUGUCACUUAUAGAUGGACCCGCGCCGUAUUAGCUAGUUGGUAAGGUAACGGCUUACCAAGGCGACGAUACGUAGCCGACCUGAGAGGGUGAUCGGCCACACUGGAACUGAGACACGGUCCAGACUCCUACGGGAGGCAGCAGUAGGGAAUCUUCCGCAAUGGGCGAAAGCCUGACGGAGCAACGCCGCGUGAGUGAUGAAGGUCUUCGGAUCGUAAAGCUCUGUUGUUAGGGAAGAACAUAUGUGUAAGUAACUGUGCACAUCUUGACGGUACCUAACCAGAAAGCCACGGCUAACUACGUGCCAGCAGCCGCGGUAAUACGUAGGUGGCAAGCGUUAUCCGGAAUUAUUGGGCGUAAAGCGCGCGUAGGCGGUUUUUUAAGUCUGAUGUGAAAGCCCACGGCUCAACCGUGGAGGGUCAUUGGAAACUGGAAAACUUGAGUGCAGAAGAGGAAAGUGGAAUUCCAUGUGUAGCGGUGAAAUGCGCAGAGAUAUGGAGGAACACCAGUGGCGAAGGCGGCUUUCUGGUCUGUAACUGACGCUGAGGUGCGAAAGCGUGGGGAUCAAACAGGAUUAGAUACCCUGGUAGUCCACGCCGUAAACGAUGAGUGCUAAGUGUUAGGGGGUUUCCGCCCCUUAGUGCUGCAGCUAACGCAUUAAGCACUCCGCCUGGGGAGUACGGUCGCAAGACUGAAACUCAAAGGAAUUGACGGGGACCCGCACAAGCGGUGGAGCAUGUGGUUUAAUUCGAAGCAACGCGAAGAACCUUACCAAAUCUUGACAUCUUUUGACCGCUCUAGAGAUAGAGUUUUCCUCUUCGGAGGACAAAAUGACAGGUGGUGCAUGGUUGUCGUCAGCUCGUGUCGUGAGAUGUUGGGUUAAGUCCCGCAACGAGCGCAACCCUUAAGCUUAGUUGCCAUCAUUAAGUUGGGCACUCUAAGUUGACUGCCGGUGACAAACCGGAGGAAGGUGGGGAUGACGUCAAAUCAUCAUGCCCCUUAUGAUUUGGGCUACACACGUGCUACAAUGGACAAUACAAAGGGCAGCGAAACCGCGAGGUCAAGCAAAUCCCAUAAAGUUGUUCUCAGUUCGGAUUGUAGUCUGCAACUCGACUACAU
Molecule: ribosomal RNA, 1283 nt
Filed under: Staphylococcus agnetis
Lineage: Bacteria; Bacillati; Bacillota; Bacilli; Caryophanales; Staphylococcaceae
Description: bacterial SSU rRNA
Rfam family: Bacterial small subunit ribosomal RNA
Source: RNAcentral